Non-coding RNA from Callithrix jacchus (white-tufted-ear marmoset), 1172 nucleotides. NCBI's taxonomy places the organism in Eukaryota, Metazoa, Chordata, Mammalia, Primates, Cebidae. The record is from RefSeq and is a predicted model, not a curated record.
CUCUGAGGGAAGGAGGGAAGAGCUCUGGAAUGAAGCCGCGGUGGGGGCAGGGAGGGGGAGGGGAGGGAGCGUGUUUGUGCUCCUCUGGACUUUGCCUUGCAGCAAAAAUCCCACCCAAUUAUGGCAUUACUGGGGGGAAACCUGGGCUGCGGGUGGGGUGGGUGACCGAGCCCAGCCUGAGGCACGCAGUCUCUUGCUACCCCCACCUCCCCAGCAGUGAGGCUCUGGGAUUAGAGCCUUGGUGAUGGGGAGCCCCCCAGAGGAUACCAGCUCUGCACACGCAAAGGAGGGCCGCCGUGCCCACCGGCAGGAUGGGCCUACGUGACCCGGUGACUGAGCGCAGCCUGCACCAUCCUGCCCUCCUGCCCCUUGGCUUGCCAAGCCCCUUCUCCUGGCUGCUUUCUUCUCCCCCGUCAGGCCCCGUCCUCUGCCCAUGCCACCUGGUAGUGGGCACACUGAGAGCCGUCCACUUCCCAGGCUGCAGAAGAUAAAGGGAGGAGCAGUCGCCAAGGAUCUAGGCAGGAGCUCCAGCCCCGGGCUCUCAGGGUUCCUGUGUUGCACUGAGACUGGUGGGUUAUGCACAGAAUGGCCACAAAUUUACCUUGAGCAAUCUGAAUUUGAGCCUGCGACCACCUCAGUUUGAUGGCACCAGCAAUCCUCUGAUGGUCACACCACCCUCAGCAGAGGCCCACUGGGCUGUGAGGGUCCUUGAGGAAUCGCCACACUGUCUUCCACAAUGGUUGAACUAAUUUACACUUCCACCAACAUUGUAAAAGUGUUCCUGUUUCUCCACAUCCUCUCCAACAUCUGUUGUCUCCAGAUUUUUAAAUCAUCACCACUCUAACUGGCGUGAGAUGGUAUCUCAAUGUAGUUUUGAUUGGCAUUUCUCUAAUGACUAGUGAUGAUGAGCAUUUUUUCAUGUUUUUGGCCUGAUGUAUGUCUUCUUUUGUAACGUGUCUGUUCAUAUCCUUUGCCCACUUUUUAAUGGGCUUGCUUUUUUUUUCUUGUAUAUCUGUUUUAGUUCUUUGUAGAUUCUGGAUAUCAACCCUUUGUCAGAUGGGUAGAUUGCAAAAAUUUUUUCCCAUUCUGUUGGUUGCCGAUUCACUCUAACAAUUGUUUCUUUGCUGUGCAGAAGCUCUGGAGUUUAAUUAAAUCCCAUUUGUCUAUUUUGA